This 492-nucleotide ribosomal RNA is filed under the name uncultured bacterium. RNAcentral describes it as "partial 16S ribosomal RNA". It matches the Rfam family "Bacterial small subunit ribosomal RNA", at positions 29 to 507 of the family's 1533-position model. The record is from RNAcentral.
AGUGAACGCUGGCGGUAGGCCUAACACAUGCAAGUCGAACGGCAGCACAGUAAGAGCUUGCUCUUACGGGUGGCGAGUGGCGGACGGGUGAGGAAUACAUCGGAAUCUACUUUUUCGUGGGGGAUAACGUAGGGAAACUUACGAUAAUACCGCAUACUACCUACCGGUGAAAGCAGGGGAUCUUCGCACCUUGCGCGUUUGAAUGAGCCGAUGUCGGACUAGCUAGUUGGGGGGGUAAAGGCCCACCAAGGCGACGAUUCGCAGCUGGACUGAGAGGGUGAUCAGCCACACUGGAACUGGGACACGGUCCAGACUCCUACGGGAGGCAGCAGUGGGGAAUAUUGGGCAAUGGGCGGAAGCCUGACCCAGCCAUACCGCGUGGGUGAAGGAGGCCUUCGGGUUGUAAAACCCUUUUUUUGGGGAAGAAAAGCUGUCGGUUUAAACCCCGCCUUUUUGACGGUACCCAAAGAAUAAGCACCGGCUAACUUCGUG